This 253-nucleotide ribosomal RNA is filed under the name uncultured bacterium. RNAcentral describes it as "partial 16S ribosomal RNA". It matches the Rfam family "Bacterial small subunit ribosomal RNA", at positions 524 to 776 of the family's 1533-position model. The record is from RNAcentral.
UACAGAGGUCCCAAGCGUUGUUCGGAUUCACUGGGCGUAAAGGGCGCGUAGGCGGUCGGGCAAGUCUGACGUGAAAUCUUCAAGCUCAACUUGGAAACUGCGUCCGAUACUAUUCGGCUAGAGGAAUGGAGGGGAGACUGGAAUACUUGGUGUAGCAGUGAAAUGCGUAGAUAUCAAGUGGAACACCAGUGGCGAAGGCGAGUCUCUGGACAUUUCCUGACGCUGAGGCACGAAAGCCAGGGGAGCAAACGGG